Molecule: ribosomal RNA, 433 nt
Filed under: uncultured bacterium
Lineage: Bacteria
Description: partial 16S ribosomal RNA
Rfam family: Bacterial small subunit ribosomal RNA
Source: RNAcentral
AACGAACGCUGGCGGCAUGCCUAACACAUGCAAGUCGAACGAGACCUUCGGGUCUAGUGGCGCACGGGUGCGUAACGCGUGGGAACCUGCCCUUAGGUUCGGCAUAACUCCCCGAAAGGGGUGCUAAUACCGGAUAAUGUCUUCUGACCAAUGAUUUAUCGCCUUUGGAUGUGCCCGCGUUGGAUUCGCUUGUUGGUAGGGUAAAAGCCUACCACGGCGACGAUCCAUAGCUGGUCUGAGAGGAUGAUCAGCCACACUGGGACUGAGACACGGCCCAGACUCCUACGGGAGGGAGCAGUGGGGAAUAGUGGAAAAUGGGCGAAAGCCUGAUCCAGCAAUGACGCGUGAGUGAUGAAGGCAGUAGGGUUGUAAAGCGCUUUUAACCGGGAUGAUAAUGACAGUACCGGGAGAAUAAGCUCCGGCUAACUACGUG